This 174-nucleotide unclassified non-coding RNA is filed under the name uncultured fungus. RNAcentral describes it as "sequence contains ITS1, 5.8S rRNA gene". Lineage: Eukaryota; Fungi. The record is from RNAcentral.
CCGAGCGAGAAUUCUCUGAAUUCAACCUCCCACCCGUGUUUAUUGUACCUUGUUGCUUCGGCGGGCCCGCCUUAACUGGCCGCCGGGGGGCUUCCGCCCCCGGGCCCGCGCCCGCCGAAGACACCUUGAACUCUGUAUGAAAAUUGCAGUCUGAGUCUAAAUAUAAAUUAUUUA